UGUGCUUUGGAAUGUAUACACAUUUUAGCCAUAUGAUCACGUUUUGAAAGUUUCAUUAAGAUUGUAUGUCUACAAAACAUAUGGAUUACGCCGAUAUGGCAAAUGUUUCUAUGAGUAUAGCGUUCCACCCAACUACCUUAAAAAGGCAAAUUAUAAAAGCGACAAAGGUGAAAAUGACGAGCUGGUGGUCAUAGAUGAGAUAUUAUCAGAAUUAAAUUAAUAAAGUUGACUUUUUAUGAAAAAAAAAACAGCAUUGUUUUCUUUUUUGCUACUUUUUCAGCUAUUUUAGAAGAAAGUUGGCUACUUCUAGCUACUUUCAGCCUUCGGUUUUGCUACUUUUGCUGAAAAAGUUUCGGCAACACUGUUGUGGAAGUGAAGAGCACGUGCGAACUCAGCAAACUCCGCAAAAGCAAUCGUAAAAAAAAAAACUCUCAGCGAAUAACCAAAACUUUCACAAAGCUCAAGCAAGUGCAUACACCAAAGGUUUAAAACCAAAAUAUAUAUCAAGUGCACUCACCAAAGGUUCGACACCACACUAACUAUCAAGUACAUAAACCAGAGGUUCAAAACCAGAAUAAUUAUCAAAGGCACACACCAAAGGUGCGGCACUAAGCUAACUAUCAAGUGCAUACACCAACGGUGCGAAACUAAAAAUCAAAAGCAAAUUUCCGCACCAAAGUGCGAAAGCAAAAACUCAUUCUGUCACAGCACCGGACCGGUGUUGGCAGCGUUUGUCACGUAAUCGGACCGAUUACGGCAGCGUAGCAAAUUAAAGCAAGCAAUCCACUCAGAAGACUACGACGACGUCAGCAGAGAGCCGGAAACACCAGGAACAGUCAAGCGCCCCUUCAAAUAAACAUGUAAGUGGCGUGCUCAGUUAAU
Drosophila mojavensis is the source of this 882-nucleotide long non-coding RNA. RefSeq lists it as uncharacterized. NCBI's taxonomy places the organism in Eukaryota, Metazoa, Arthropoda, Insecta, Diptera, Drosophilidae. The transcript has 2 exons. The record is from RefSeq and is a predicted model, not a curated record.